AUAAGAGACUUUUACCAGUGCGUAAAGUAGCCAAAGAAACAUUACCACACCGUGAGUUAGUGUCCAGUCUAACCUUAGCACAACACUAUGUCAUACCUUAAAAGGUUAUGGAAAGCCAUACACUGGUCAGGAAAUGUUUGUUUAGUCUUCGUUUCUUUCUAAACACUAACAAGACUGAUUCUUUUUUCAACCACAAUCCCCAACGAUUAGAUAAAACCAAGACUCACCCCAAAGAGUUCUGAAAGAUCAGGGUUGAAAUAAGUUAAAUUAAUUACCAAAGGGGCCUGUUUCUAACACAUGACUUGAGUAGGGAUUUGGGUUUCAGUUGGCUGAGUGCUUGUCUGGGCCAGUUCCGGGGGAACUCAUGCGACCACAUUCCUGUCAGUACUACUCAGUAGUUCCCAUGACCCAACAGCUCUACGCUGUGAUGUGGCACCUAAAAGGCCGCAGGGAGAAAGAGUUAUCCAGCGUUGUCCGUGC
This is a long non-coding RNA of Esox lucius (northern pike), 480 nucleotides long. RefSeq lists it as uncharacterized. Lineage: Eukaryota; Metazoa; Chordata; Actinopteri; Esociformes; Esocidae. The transcript is spliced from 3 exons. The record is from RefSeq and is a predicted model, not a curated record.